Molecule: ribosomal RNA, 465 nt
Filed under: Vreelandella stevensii
Lineage: Bacteria; Pseudomonadati; Pseudomonadota; Gammaproteobacteria; Oceanospirillales; Halomonadaceae
Description: partial 16S ribosomal RNA
Rfam family: Bacterial small subunit ribosomal RNA
Source: RNAcentral
CCUACGGGUGGCAGCAGUGGGGAAUAUUGGACAAUGGGCGAAAGCCUGAUCCAGCCAUGCCGCGUGUGUGAAGAAGGCCUUCGGGUUGUAAAGCACUUUCAGUGGGGAAGAAAGCCUUGGGGCUAAUACCCUCGAGGAAGGACAUCACCCACAGAAGAAGCACCGGCUAACUCCGUGCCAGCAGCCGCGGUAAUACGGAGGGUGCGAGCGUUAAUCGGAAUUACUGGGCGUAAAGCGCACGUAGGCGGUCUGAUAAGCCGGUUGUGAAAGCCCCGGGCUCAACCUGGGAACGGCAUCCGGAACUGUCAGGCUAGAGUGCAGGAGAGGAAGGUAGAAUUCCCGGUGUAGCGGUGAAAUGCGUAGAGAUCGGGAGGAAUACCAGUGGCGAAGGCGGCCUUCUGGACUGACACUGACGCUGAGGUGCGAAAGCGUGGGUAGCAAACAGGAUUAGAUACCCGUGUAGUC